UGCACAGAUAUUAUAUUGCCUCCCCCCCUUUUUUAUUUUUUUUUCGGAGCCCAUUGUACUUAACUGAAUUUUAUAACGCUGAUCGAUAUCUUGGUAAAAUAUUCAUUUUUAAACUAGCGGGCAGUGAAAUCUUUGCUUUGUGUGCUAAAGUCAACAGUCGCACAGUUCGGGCUCCAAUAAAUGCGGCGAUGCUGCGGCUUGGAGCAGUCAGGGCGUCUCCCAACGCAAGACAGUCCUCGCCGGGCCGUGGGCUGAGGAGGGCCCCGCACCAGGCACCUACUGGUAAGGAGCAACCUAUUCAGUAGUCGGAUAAUUGUGGCAGCAAAACAAGUGGUUGUAGAGGUAGAAGAAACGUCCAAGAUCACAACUGAGUAAGCAACAAAGAUGGAAUUGACAAUGAAGAUACUCUUCACGGGGGAAAGAGAAGUGGACCUAAAGUCAAAAAGGCUGGAGAUCAAUUCUUCAUUCUUGUAUUUAAAGCCAGUGGGACCAUAAAAAGUCAUGUGAGCUCUCUGAGGCUUUAUUUUUCUCAUCUGUAAAAUAUGGAGAAGAAUUCUACUGCUACCUUCCUUAUAGGCAUGUUAUGAUCAACACACUUUGGGAAAUUCAAAGUACUAUGGAAAUGUAAUCUGGUGGUAGUAGGGCAAGGAUAGGGAUUAUUCCUAUUAUUAAAUUGGUACAGUGAAUUUGGGUGAGAAAA
Long non-coding RNA from Sarcophilus harrisii (Tasmanian devil), 700 nucleotides. RefSeq lists it as uncharacterized. The record is from RefSeq and is a predicted model, not a curated record. The transcript has 4 exons. Lineage: Eukaryota; Metazoa; Chordata; Mammalia; Dasyuromorphia; Dasyuridae.